UUAGGCCUACGGGGGGCAGCAGUGGGGAAUAUUGCACAAUGGGGGAAACCCUGAUGCAGCGACGCCGCGUGAGUGAAGAAGUAUUUCGGUACGUAAAGCUCUAUCAGCAGGGAAGAAAAAAAGUCCUUUGGACUUUGGACGGUACCUGACCAAGAAGCCCCGGCUAACUACGUGCCAGCAGCCGCGGUAAUACGUAGGGGGCAAGCGUUAUCCGGAUUUACUGGGUGUAAAGGGAGCGUAGACGGCAGCGCAAGUCUGGAGUGAAUGGCAGGGCCCCACCCCGGGG
RNAcentral lists this ribosomal RNA (286 nucleotides) under uncultured bacterium. Its description in RNAcentral is "partial 16S ribosomal RNA". It matches the Rfam family "Bacterial small subunit ribosomal RNA", at positions 333 to 620 of the family's 1533-position model. The record is from RNAcentral.